Molecule: long non-coding RNA, 693 nt
Organism: Temnothorax curvispinosus
Lineage: Eukaryota; Metazoa; Arthropoda; Insecta; Hymenoptera; Formicidae
Exons: 2
Source: RefSeq, a predicted model, not a curated record
ACAACCCUGCUUAUUAUUCCACAAAAUCAACAUAUCAUCAGUGAAUAGAUAUAUUUAACAAAACAUAAUCGUAACGUUCCGUUAUAGUUGCAAGAAGAUAUAGAAAAUUAUACGAGAGUACGACUCGAUCCAAAUGCAUCGACUGAAGAAAGAUGCACACCUCGGAUAUUUAACUGUCAACCUGAUAGACAAUAUGCUCAUGUUAAACCGACGCGUCCAGUAGUUCUGAAGCGCCAGAAAAUAGAAACCUUAAACGAAAUCCUACAAACUGAAACAGUAAUCGAUAGUAGCAUGGAAUGUGAAUCCACAGAAUCUAUUACAAUCGAGUCGUUGCAUAUUGACACCAACAUUGAUGAUUUUUCGACCUUCUCAGUUUCCUCGUUGACGAGCAUCGAUACAGCAUACACGCCUUUAUUGUUUACUCUGUGCUCAGGAUAAACCUUUCCUCUGAUAUGGCAUAAGCUUUUUUCCCGUUUCAAUUCAACAUAUCCAACUGCUGGAUCGCCGUUAGUUUUCACCUUCAGCUCUAUCGAAAUGUACAUCGACAAGAUGACAAGAGUGUAUUAAAGGUUAUGUCAUGUGUUGUAUAUAAUACUCAAAUUAAUAUACUUUGAUAUAUCGUUUCAUACUGUAUCUUGUAUCUGUCUAUAAAUUUUAUAAUUUAUUUCCUGUUAUUACAAGUUUUUAAAAAUA